GACCCUCUUCGCCUUCGUAAAGACGAUUCUUGAUAUUCAAACAGUGUGUUACUCCCAGUGUGUGUGAACCUGCAAAACAUCAUAUUAUGCGUAUCAACUGUUUGUGAAAAUGUCAAUAUAAUUAAUGGGUCAAAAAAGAAGUUUCUUCAACUCCAAUGGUGGAAGGAGGAAGAAGAGCAUUGGCGAGUUCGUAGCUUGGAGUGCUCGAGGAGUCUCUGCAUCCCAAGGGAACCUCUAUACGAGGCCCUCCAGAAGUAGCUACUGCCUCACGUGCUGCCAUGAUGAGAAUGUCAGCACAAGAAACUUGGUUAGGACAUGCUACUUCAACCAUGGACUUCAGAAGGCUUAUCGUUUCCCUCUGUCGGAUUGCAAAGUUUUUAGUUGAAGCCAUCUCUGAUGAAUCAUUUUUUUGGCUGUCUUGAUCAACCAGAAUAGAAGCAUCACAGCCCUGCAAUUGGUUUAUCAUUAUGACAACAAUGUUAGUAAGAUAAUUAAUCUUGUUUAGCUCAUUUAAUGGCAGAUGGAUAUGAGAUGGGAAGAGAAAGAGAUAAAGACCUGAACUUGGCAAUCAUGGAACAUGAGCCUCAACAAAGCAGCAGGUGAAGUAAUAUCAGAAGAGAAAACAGUUUACAAAACCCAAGUUUGGUAGCAGCAGCAGCAGUAGUAAUAUUACUUGAAACAAGAAAAUUAGAGCUGCACAGCUUAAGUUGACAAAGGACGAUUAAGGUUGAUCUCAAUGGCAAUGGUGAAUUCAAAUCUGUUCAAGCUGCUAUAGACUCUGUUCCUGAAGGCAAUUCUCAAUGGAUUAUCAUCCACCUUAGAAAAGGGGUCUUCAGAGAAAAGGUGCACAUACCAC
This is a long non-coding RNA of Cannabis sativa, 856 nucleotides long. RefSeq lists it as uncharacterized. NCBI's taxonomy places the organism in Eukaryota, Viridiplantae, Streptophyta, Magnoliopsida, Rosales, Cannabaceae. The record is from RefSeq and is a predicted model, not a curated record. The transcript is spliced from 5 exons.